AAGGAUUUAGGUUAAAUAAACCUUUAACCUUCAAAGUUAAAAAUAGGGGAAUUCUCUAAGCCUUA
Molecule: transfer RNA, 65 nt
Filed under: Altica palustris
Lineage: Eukaryota; Metazoa; Arthropoda; Insecta; Coleoptera; Chrysomelidae
Description: tRNA-Trp
Source: RNAcentral